RNAcentral lists this transfer RNA (72 nucleotides) under Phrynosoma platyrhinos (Desert horned lizard). RNAcentral describes it as "tRNA-OTHER". Lineage: Eukaryota; Metazoa; Chordata; Lepidosauria; Squamata; Phrynosomatidae. The record is from RNAcentral.
GCCAGUGUGGUAUAGUGGUUUAAGUGUAGGACUAUGACUCUAGAGAUCAGGUUUUGAAUCCCUGCUCUGCCA